ACCACGACCGUUUCUUCUCGUCAGUUCUGCAUCCGGAAGAGGACACGGUGGGGUUAUGUUUGACGUAAGUAGGUGUUUGGGAUCAUUCAUUUGAACAUUAUUAGUUCACGUCCGAUUAUGCGUAGAUCAUCCCCCCUCCUUUAUUCUUGUACUCGUAAGUUAGCCACCUCAAAUGAAUGCUUAGUCGCUUGCCGCAGCCUCACCACUUAACC
Molecule: long non-coding RNA, 212 nt
Filed under: Hordeum vulgare
Lineage: Eukaryota; Viridiplantae; Streptophyta; Magnoliopsida; Poales; Poaceae
Description: long non-coding RNA (HVUL_LNC018331)
Source: RNAcentral